Long non-coding RNA from Halichondria panicea, 1636 nucleotides. RefSeq lists it as uncharacterized. Lineage: Eukaryota; Metazoa; Porifera; Demospongiae; Suberitida; Halichondriidae. The transcript has 6 exons. The record is from RefSeq and is a predicted model, not a curated record.
CUCAAGCAGUUUUCACUUCUAUUAGUGAACUUAUUUUUAAUAUUUAUGAUCCAACUAAAUUUCAAGUAGAAGCACCUGUGUUCGAUCGGUUUACGCAAAAGGGUUUCUUUUCUCCCAAAGAUCACACCAUUGAAGCCAUUGCUGCUCAAAAAAAUCAUUUACCCAUUGAAGACCGAAUACCGUUGUUGGAGCAUCUAAACAUAGCUGUUCCCAUGGUUGUUGAUUCGAUCGAUGGGUACUUUCUUCCAGCAGUUCUUCAAACAGCCACUAGUGAGGUGUUGAAUAAGCCUCUCGAUGGAGCAAAUCCUGAUCAAGAUCCAGAGCCCCUUUGUGUCCGUUUUAAAACUGGUUUUGUGCCAAUGGGAUUUGUUUCCGCUCUAGUUGCUAACCUACUAAAUAGUUACAGAGAUUCACUUGAAUUACUUGGGAAACAGCAACAUAAAGUGGUGUACAAAAACAAAAUCACGUUUCGAUUUCAAGGGCGUUUUGAUAUUGUGUUGCUUUCCUGGGCCAAGUACUGUGAGUAUCGAGUAGCACGAGUCCCAGGACCAGGCCAUGAACAGUUUUGCUGCUCAUUAAUCAAAGACAUGCUAGAGAAAUCAAUCAAAGACGUCAUCGACAGAAUGAGACAGAGUUCUCUAUUCCAGCAGUCACAGGGCUAUGAUUUUGCUUUCAAAUGCCCUCAAAGCAAUUGCAAGAAGAGAAUAGGUUACGAAUCAUUGGUGGUGGUACUUAAUCCCAAAGACCUUAAAAGCCUAAACUGUGAGAGCUGCAAAAUCGCUGUACAUGCAACCCCUCAAAUGAGUACCUGGUUCCUGAAAUUUCAAGAUGAAGAAACUAGUCAAGAAUCUGAAGUAGUUUCAGCUAUAAAAGAAUUGUGCCCAGCUGCAAAAUGGUAUAGUCUAGCUAUUCAACUCGGUUUUUGCUACAAAAAAAGAAAGUCAAUAAAAGAAGACCACCAGCUUAGUGGAGUGGAAAAUUACCUUUCAGCAAUGCUAAGUGAUUGUCUCUCCCAUAUCUCCGAUACCCCUACCCCUACUAUGAAGCACUUGAGUCUCCCACAGUCGGGUGCCAGGAUAUUAUCGACCAAAUCAGGAACAAUCAAAAAAUAGCUGAUGCUCCAAUUCCUGAUGACUUUGUAGAAACAUGUGAUCUCUCCACUAAAAGAUCAGAAUCUUGCUGUAUAGGUCCUCUCUGCAUUGACAAGCACUUGAAGGUUGUAAGAGAAGAUACCUGGGAGGUACGUGCCAGCUGGAAGAGUGUGGGGCUGCAGCUCGGAAUUGCCUCGACCAAACUAGACGUCAUUAAGGCUGACUGUAGGGACUGUGAGCCCUGUUUCACUGCCAUGCUGGAACACUGGUUGGCCGAAAGGUCUGCUGACACCCCUUACACAACCUGGUCAGCCCUCACUACAGCACUAAGGUCUCCUGCAGUUGCUAACCUUGACGUUGCUGAGCAAAUUGAUACAAAGCACGUACAUUAAUUAACCUCUUUGCACUGAAAACAGCUAAACACAUGCAAGUCAUGCAACUAGUUAUAGUUUAGCUAUAGCUCACCAGUUUUUUUAGCUAUAUAUGCAUAAUUUCACUUUCUGUAGUCAAUAUUUUGGUUUAGUUAUAAUUAUUAACCUAGAUAU